UAUAAAUAAGGGUCUUCUUCAGUUUCAUAAAUGCAUAGAAAAUUAACAAGCUCAAAUUCCUUCUUUUCAUAUUCAUCUCUUUCAUUUUGAAUUGCAACUUUAUCCUGCCUAAAUUCCUCAACAAUGAACCACCCAUCAGGACAGCCUCAAAAUGAACUUCCUUGGUCCGCCGGAUUCUGAGAUUGUUGCUCUGACCUGAAAACUUGUAACCCUUUCUUCUUUCUUCAAUAUCAGUUGUGUCUUUUUAAUUAUAUGAAUUAGUUUAUCAAUUAAAUAUAUGGACAUUUCAGGUUGCAUUUCAUACUGGUGCCCAUGCAUCACCUUUGGCCAGAUUGCUGAGAUUGUUGAUAAAGGGUCGACUUGUAAGUUAUUAAUUUCUAAAUUGAAAUCUUAUCAUCUUAGGUUUGCAGACAUAUAUAUAUAUUUAAAGAGAUAUUAUGUAAUUAAUAAUAAUGUUGAAAAACACUGUUGGAUGGUGCAGCAUGUGGGGCAAGUGGGGCACUAUACACAUUAAUAAUGUUCAUCACCGGGUGUGGGUGCUUAUAUUCUUGCUGCUACCGAUCCAAACUGAGAAAGCAGUAUAACUUGAAAGGAGGCGAUUGUGGCGAUUGCAUGCGUCAUUUCUGCUGCGAGCCUUGUGCCUUGACACAAGAGUAUCGUGAGCUCCAGAACCGUGGAUUCGACAUGUCUAUCGGUAUGUCUACAUACCAAUAUUAUACCCCUUUUAAUUAUUCUUAAUAUAACUUCAAGUAUAUUAAUUGAGUAGCUGUAAACAAAUAUCUCCGAAUAAAUAUGUUGGUAAUGAUGAGAUAAAUUAUUGUUUGAGGUCAUUAAUUUUGUGGGGGUAUAUUUAUAUAUGCAGGUUGGCAUGCAAAUGUGGAGAAGAACCCAGGGCUGGCAAUGGCUCCAGCGGUAGAAAAAGGCAUGAGCAAAUAGAUGAUGAUGAUGAUGAGACCACUGCAUUAAUAUCAUCUUUACAUGUAACACUUAAUUCCUUGGCUUUCCAUAAUUGGUUGAUUGUACGGCUUGCCAAUUGAAUUUCAAGUUAUGUAUGUUUGUGAUUGUCAAAUAUAUUAAUAAAAAGUGUUACUAUUCAUGUUAGAUCUUCAUGAAUAAGAAUGAGAAUCGAAAAUAACUUGUAAUAUUGUGUGUGCAUGUUUGGUAUUUAGGUGAAAUACUUAGAAAGAGAGGUUGGAUUAAAUUAAUUUUUUAUUAUCAAAAUGGAUGAUUUUAAUUUUUAUAUUAAUAAAAAGAAUUAAAUAAAAUUAAUAUUUAUUGUUUUAGAAAAUGACAUCAAAUUAUUGUUUUUUAUAGUUCAAUCCAAAUAAAAUAUCUACAAAAUCAUUAAAAACUUUUAAAAUGUGACUUUGUUAAAUAGUAAAUAGCAUUUUUUUAAAAGGGUUCAUAUAUAUCGUGAUACCUAAAGUUGGCAACUUCUACUUAGUAUCUAAAUCGGUACAUAAACUUGAAAAUUGUAAGUCAACUUCGUAUUUUUAUAAGUAUGAUGAUGUUGGUGUAGUGUGAGGAAGAAGACUUGAAUGGGUUUGAUUAUUUUUAAUAAUACAGGAAUUUACAUAUUAUAAGUAAAUAGACACUCACAUUCUUUAUGUAUUAUAAGGAAGAAGACUAAGUCGAUCUACUUUGUAAUCUCAUCAAUCUUAAUUUUCUCAAUUGUUAAGGGAGUUCAAAUGAAAUACAAAAUUUUGGUAAAAAAAAGUAUCCAAUUUUGUGAAUAAAAAAUAUAUGGUAAAAAAGAUUUGGUAUCGAUACUUCGGCGCGGGUAUCAAUACUCGAUACAUUGCUUUUGGUUGGAAAGUAGUGUCUGGAACGGCCAUGGGAUGUGUUGUUUUCCAAACCGGUAAGGCGAAAAGGUUUGUGAAUUUGGUUGAAGACCAACAUGAGAAGAGGCGAAGAAGAAAACCAAAAUAUAGCAAUCGCAUCAAUGGAUGAAGAAGGAUCUAGUUGGUGCAAAUGAAGUUAAAGCAUUUGUGCUGUGUCUUCAUAAUUUCUUGUUUAGUAGUCUGUCAGAAAGUUUUUCCUAUGGUGAAAAGUUGCAUUGGUAUGUGUCUGUCUUUAUGAUUGUACCAAUUCCUCUGUAUUUCAUUGCAUUUCGUACUAUUUGUAAGGGUUUAGUUCGAGUGUAACAUCUUGUAUGGUGCAACUAUGUAUGUCUUCUUUCUUGAUUAUUGAAAUUAUAAUCAAAAUUAAUACAUGUUCUUUUUAUUAGCUUAAGGGCGUAAAAACACUUCAAAAUUUUCAAAAAAUAAAAUAAAAUUUUAAGUCCCUCUUUUUUUUACACUCAAUUGAAAUUUUUAAAAUGUAUCAAAAAUAUCUUUACAGUUCUUCAAAAAAAAAAACAAUUAAACCCCUAUUUUUUUUCCGCUCAAUUGGGUACUUGAACUUUCAUAAUGCAUCAAAAAUGCCUUAAAUUUUUUUCAAAAAAGCAAUUAAGCCCCUACUCUUAUUAAAAAUUAGAAAAAAAUCAUAAAAAUAAUAAAUUUUAGAAAAAAUUAUUAAAUUUUAAUAAAAAUUUAAAAUUUUAUUAAAAAUUAGAAUUUUUUUUUAGAAAAAUCGUCAAAAAAUAAAAAAUUAUAAAAUCCAUCAAAAAGUUUUAACAAUUAACUUUAACUAUUGAUCGUUAAAGUUAACGACCUCUAGUUUUUUCAAUUAAAGUCAUUAUGUGUCGCAACUCAACGUGACAUGUAGCGAAAAUAGAUAAAAAAGUAAAAAUCAAUAAAAGUUAUAGAAAAAUUAUAAAAUAUUUCUUUUGGUAGAAUAAUUUUUAUAAAUUUUUUUUACAAAAUUUAUAUUUCUUUACAUUUUGUAUAAUUUUCUUAUAACUUUAUAAAAUUUUAUAAAUUUUUAUAUUUCUAUAUAUUUUAAAAUUUUUUAAAAUUUUUAUAAAAUUUUACAAUUUUUAUAUAUUUUUAAUAAAUUUUUAAUAUUUGAUUUUUUAUUAAAAUUUAAUAAUAUUAUAGAUUUUAUUGAUUUUAAUUUUUUAUCUAAUUUUUAAUAAAAUUAGGGGGUUAAUUGCUUUUUUUUUAAGUUUGAGGGUCUUUUUGAUGCAUUUUGAAAGUUCAAGUACCCAAUUGACUGCAAAACAAAAAGAAAAAAAGUAGGGGCUUAAUUGCUUUUUUUGAAAAUGUUUGAGGGCUUUUUUGAUGUAUUUUGAAAGUUCAAGUACCCAAAUGAGUGCAUAAAAAGAACAGGGGUUUAGUUGCUAUUUUGAAAAAGUUUGAGGGCUUUUUGCACCUUUAAACCUCUUUUCUUUUUCUAAAUUUAAUUUAGAACCAACUUUGUGUAAAGACUUGGGAAAUUUAAUUAGCAAAAUUUCUUUCCAUGUAAAAAUUUCCCCUAUUUCUUGUUUGAAUUUAAAGCAAUACAAUAUUUUUCUAGCAAAUAAUAGAAAAUGACAGUCAAUUAAUUCCAGCAAUACAACAUUUCCAGUCUGGUGGAAAACAGCUAGGGACCAAAUUUUUAAAGUGUUGUUUACUACACACUUAGGGACCAUAUAUGUAUAUAUAUAUAUUCCAGUCUGGGUCUUUGUCGUGUUUUGUUGGUUGGCUAUGGCCUUCUUGUUGUUUCAUGGCCACUGCCCGUGAAUUAAGUCAUAUGUGGCCUUGUUUGCUAGACCUUAGUUGCUAAGUUAAAGGGAGUGAAUAGAGCACCAUAUUUCUUCUUCUGCGUGGAAAAUAAGUUGGCAUUAUGCCAAAUUCCACAUUCAUACAUAGAAAGGAAGCAAGGCCAAGUCAUUAUACUUUGUAAUCUCAUCAAUUCUAAUUAUUUCACUUCUUCAUUCUUUAGGGAGUUCAAGUGAAAUACAAAUUUUUCCACAUCCAAUCUCAUAAAUAAUCCGUCUUUGAACUUUCACAAAAAAAUAUUAAAUACCCAUUCACUUUAAUUCUACUAUUCUUAAAUCAUUCAAGUUUUGUGGAAAAUAUGCUUCUUGGAUAAAAUUAUUCAACACACAUGCCUUGAAUUUUAUGCAAUAAAAUAAAUCAAUAUAGGCCACACAUGCUUUGAAUAUUUAAGUAGUCCACAAUUUUGUUCGUUUGUGUGCAAAAUUCUACAUUGCUUGACAGCCAUACAUUCUAAGUAAAUAGACACCCACAUUGUUUACGUAUUAUGAAGAAGAAGACUAAGUCAGUCUACUUUGUAAUCUCAUCAAUCUUAAUUUUCUCAGUUAUUUAGGGAGUUCAAAUGAAAUACAAAAUUUUGGGAAAAAAAAUGUAUCCAAUUUUGUGAAUGAAAAAUAUAUGGUAAAAAGGAUUUGGUAUGGAUACUUCGGCUCGGGUAUCAAUACUCAGGGUAAGUUUAUCGAUACAUUGCUUUUGGUUGGAAAGUGGUGUUGAUAGGUGAUGACUAAAAUUUGAUAAAUUUGAAAAGUACAUGAAAUUUAACGAUUAUUGUUUGGUGAUGACUAAAAUUUUAAAAUUUGAAAAGUACAUGAACUAAAAAUGACCAAAUUAAAGUAUAAAGAUUAAGUCCACAACUUUUGCAAAGUACAAGGACUAAUAGCAGAAAUUAACCUAAAUUUCAUAUGGGUCAAUUACAAAAAUAAUCACUAAACUAUUCCUUUGGUUCUAUUCUAGUCACUCAACUAUAGAGGUGCUCAUGGGCUGAGCCAGGUCAAGCCUAAGUAUGAUAUUAAUGUAUUUUAUACUUGCUCAAGCUUGGCUCGGCCUGAAAUAUGAGCUUAAAAUUUUGCCUGAACUCAUCCAUAUUUGCAAAAGACUAACCCAAGCUCAUUUUAAGCAUGCCUAUAUAAUUUUUAAUUUUUUUUAAAUAUUUAUAUUAUAUUAUAUUAAUUAAUAAUUUAAACAUUUUUUAUUUAUUAAAAUUUUUUAUAGUCAUUUUAACAUUAUUUUAAUGUUUACAUUAUAGUAUUAUUAUAUAUUUAGUAUAAGUAUUUUUUUAAUAUGUUCUAAUUUAUAUAAUAUAAAGUAUUAUACACUUAAAAACGGGCCGGGCUGGGCUUGAGCUUUAGUUGUUACUCAACUAUUAAUUUUUUCGAUUUAGUUGUUAACCUUUUCAAAAGUAAAUAUUUUAGUCAGUCUCCUAUUAGUUGUUGUUAAAUGAGUGACGGAAAGCUAAUGUGAGCUUUUUUUAUUAGUCUAAUAACAAAUUUAGCCCUCCAAUGUUUACACAUUCUAUCAAUUUGAUCGUAAAUAUAAAAAAAAAAUCAACAAAUUUAGCCCUGAAUAUUAACAAAACUUGUCAUUUUAGUUCAAAUUCUAAAAAAUUUAAUAAAUUUAACCUUUAAUAUUUUCAAAAAAAUAGCAAUUUAGUUCUAAUUCUAAAAAUUUUAAUAUAUAUAUUUAAAAAAAUAUUUCUAAUCCUCUGUCUCACCCUUUGAUUUUUUAGAUGAGCUAAAAUCAAAAUAUAUCAUUAUGUCUUUUUGUUUUAAUGCUAAAAGAGAUAAAAAAAAAUGGAAAGCUAAAAUGGCUUUUCGUUUGUGAAGUUAAAAAAUGCCAAAUAAAUUAUUAUGUCUUUUUAGUUUUAAUUUUUUACUUGAUUAAAAGAGAAAUAAUUAACGAAUGAAAAAUAAUUAUUCACAAAUAAAUUUAUCAGAAUUUAUAACAAAUGAGAUUUUAAAUUUGAAUUUAUAAAUCAAAAUUUAUAUAUAUAUAUAUAUAUAUAUAUAUAUAAAAGAAAACACAUUUUUAUGAAAUAUAAGAUUUUGUUAAAAGAAAGAGCAUAUAAAAGCAUACACGUUUUUAUGAAAUACAAGAUUUUGCUAAAAGAAAAAGCAUCCAAUUUUAAGAAUGAAAAAUAUGUGGUAAAAGCAUCCAUAACUUUUCAAUGUAAAAGAAAAAAAAACUGUAACACCAAUGUUGUGGUAUUAUUUGUUGCCUAUAAAUACCAUUCCUAUCCUUCAUCUUCCUCUACCAACAUAACAUGGCCUCCUCCUAUCUCUUUCUCUUUCUCUGCCUAUUCCUCUUCUUUCCCCAUCUUUAUGCUUCUUUUUCUUCUUCAGGAUCUCACUCCUGCUCUUCACUAAUCCAGUUUAAGGACUCUUUUUCCAUAACAGAGGAUGCUUCUUCUGAUUGCAAUGAGAUUGCUGGCCAUAAAUUUUAUCCCAAGACCAAUUCAUGGAAGGAGGGUACAGAUUGCUGCUCAUGGGAUGGGGUCACUUGCGACCACCUAAAUGCUCAUGUUAUUGCCCUUGACUUGAGCUGCAGUUGGCUAUAUGGCAACUUCCCUUCCAAUUCCACUCUCUUCCUUCUUCCUCACCUUCAAAAACUCAACCUUGCCUACAAUUAUUUUAAUCUUUCCAAAAUUCCAUCCGAGUUCGGUCGGUUUACAAGCCUAUUCUACCUCAACCUUUCUUAUACAUGGUUUGCAGGAGAAGUCCCAUCCCAAGUCUCCCACCUGUCAAAAUUGGUUUCACUUGAUCUCUCCUUUUGGAUUGAUAACUAUGAGCAACUUACAAUUGACAAACAUGCUCUGGAGGGACUUGUUCACAACCUAACCGAGGUCAGACAUCUGUUUUUGGAUGGAAUCAACAUGACUUCUGUUAAUGCUCAUGUCUUCAUGAAUCUAUCCUCUUCUCUAAGAUCUCUCAGUCUUGCUGGUUGUGAUUUGCAAGGAAAAUUCCCAAAAAACAUUUUUGAUUUGCCAAACCUCAAUCUCCUCAACUUGGGAGGCAACCAAUUGAGUGGACAAAUUCCAAGAUCAUUGGGGAACCUCUUGCAACUCACUGUUUUAGACUUGUGGGGGAACAAAUUGAGUGGACAAAUUCCAUUGUCAAUUCUAAACCUAACGCAGUUGGAAUACUUGGUAAUAUCUGAAAAUUCUUUAGAAGGUUCUAUUCCAGAUGAGGUAACCGCUGUUCCGAAUCUAAUAUAUUUAGUCUUAUAUGACAAUUUACUCAAUGGAACACUUCCGUCAUGGUUGUAUACUGCUCCCUCCUUAAAGGGUAUAAUUCUCUCUCAAAAUCAAUUCAGUGGGCAUAUCAAAGAAUUCCAAACCAAAUCACUAGAAUAUUUAGAUCUAGAAAAUAAUAAACUCCAAGGUCCCCUUCCAUCUUCAAUAUUCCAACUUCUCAAUCUUACCGGGCUCCUUUUAUCCUCAAAUAAUCUUAGUGGUGUCAUAGAGUUUCGCAUGUUCUCAAACCUUCCAAAUCUCAAAUAUCUUUACCUUUCAUAUAACAACCUAUCCUUAACAUCUAAUUCUACUUCUACUGUUAAUCAUAUAUUGCCUAAUCUUACAGACGUACUUUUGUCAUCUUGCAAUCUUAGUGAAUUCCCCCAGUUUUUAAAAGGGCUUAAAAGUUUGGAAAGCUUAGACCUCUCUUGCAACAAAAUUGAAGGCAAGAUUCCACAGUGGAUGCAAGAGGUGGGGAAUGUCUCUUUGACUUACUUCAACGUAUCUCACAACUCUUUGACAGAAGUUGAGCACUUUCCAUGGAAGAAUAUUGAAAGGCUUGACUUAAGCUCCAAUUUGAUCAGUGGAAAUCUUCCGAUUCCAGCUUCGACCAUCAGUGUCUUUUUUAUCUCAAAUAAUAGUUUCAAUGGAGAGGUCUCUUCUUUAAUAUGCAAUGCCAGUUCUCUUCGAAUUCUUGAUUUGUCCCACAAUAACUUGAGUGGACCAAUUCCGCAAUGUUUUGGAAAUUUGAGUGACAGCCUUGAAAUCUUGAAUCUGAAGAAGAACAAGUUCUAUGGGACGAUUCCUCCAAAAUUUGCAAAGGGAUGCCGAUUGACUAAUUUCAACUUAAAUGGAAAUCUGUUAGAAGGGCCAUUGACUCCAUCCAUCCUUAAUUGUAGGGGUCUGGAAGUGCUAGAUCUUGGUAACAACAAGAUCAAUGAUACAUUUCCUCAUUGGUUGGGAAGUCUUCCACAGCUACAAGUUCUUGUAUUGAAGUCAAAUCAUAUGCAUGGUUCCUUAUGUGUCAAUAGCUCUAAGUCUAGCCCUUUUUUCUCUAAAAUCCAAAUUUUUGACCUCUCAAGUAACUAUUUUUCUGGACCCCUACCAGUGAGAUACAUCAACAGCUUCAAGGCUAUCAUAAAUGUAGAGAAGAUUGGUAGUACAGUGUCGUACAUGGGGGUGAAUGAUGAUGGAGGUGACUUCUAUACCUAUUCCAUUGGAAUUGUCAUGAAAGGGAGAGAUAUGGAAUUGGUGAAAAUUUUCACCAUGUGGAUGAUCAUUGAUCUAUCAAACAAUCAGUUUGAAGGGGGUAUUCCAGAGGUUUUUGGGAAGCUUAACUUACUGAAAGGGCUCAACCUUUCUCAUAAUAACCUUAAUGGUGGUAUCCCCACCUUAAUAGGGAAUUUGACAAGUCUUGAAUGGUUGGACCUAUCUUCAAACAGGUUGUCUGGGACGAUUCCAAAUAGAUUGGCAGAUCUGCCAUUUCUUUCGUCCUUCAAUGUUUCUGAAAAUCAACUCCAUGGUCAGAUUCCUCAAGGCAAACAGUUCAACACAUUUGGAAAUGAUUCAUAUGAAGGAAACAAGGCAUUAUGUGGAUUUCCGGUCUCAAAAGGUUGCAACAUCAUUGAGCCAGCACCUCCAAAUGUGCUUGAAAAAGAUGGCUCAAAAUCAAACAUUACUUUUGGUUGGAAAGUGGUGUUGAUAGGUUAUGGAUGCGGAGUGGUGUUCGGAAUGUCCGUGGGAUAUGUUGUUUUCCAAACUGGUAAGCCGAAAUGGUUGGUGAAUUUGGUUGAAAUCCAACAUGAGAAGAAGCGAAGAAGAAAGUCAAAGGAUGGCAGUCGCAGCAAUGGACGAAGAAGAAUCUAGUUAGUGGAAAUGAUGUUCAAGUGUUGAUGUUGUAUCUUCAUAAUUUCUUGUUUUGAAGUCUGUCAAAUUUUUUUCCUAUCGUGAAAGGCUGCAUUGCCAUGCAUCUGUCUUUUUUAUUGUAACCAUUCAUCUAUAUUUCAUUGCAUUACGUAGUAUUUGUAAGGGUUUGUUUUAAAUGUAACAUUUUGUAUGGUUCAACUAUUUAUGUCUCUUUCAUGAGUUUCAUUUUUGAGUCUCAAUAAUCUCUGCAUUCAAGAUUUUGUCAGCUUAUUAAUUGGUGGAUCAAUAAUCUUCAUGCUCAUCUCAUCAUCUUUUUCUCGAGUUAAACACAGUCACUACUAUAAUAAUUUCUUCUGUGUGGAAAAUAAUUUGGCAUUCUGCAAAUUUCCACAAUGCUUGUGGAUUACCUCUGGUUGACGGCUAUACAUAUAAAGGAAGGAAACAAGACUAUGUCAAAAUUUCCAAAAAUCAGUCAUUCAUUUUUGAACAAUUAAACAUUCCUAUUCUAUUUUUCAAAAUUGUAAAUCCUCAAAUAAUGUAAAUUAGUCCUAAAACUCAAGUUUUGAAAUCUUUACAAUUUAACCCCUUAUAGUUUCAAACUUUACUAUUUUAUGCUCAACUUUCUAAAUCUUCAUAUUUCAUGAUCAUAUAAUUUAGUUAUUACAUCAAUAUUUCAGAUUUCACUACUCAAACCCUUACUUCAUUUUGGUCCUUACUUCAAUUUUUUCAAAUUAAAUCAAUUUUCAAUUUGACUGCAUUGAUGUGAAAUUGAGGGAGCACUAAACAAUGUUGAUGCGAGUUUAGGUAAAAUUGGUGGAUCCCAUCUCCUUAGUAAUUUCUUUAUGGAAGUAGCUGCUUUCACACUGCAAACUUGAAUAGUUUGUGGUGGACGAUGAUGAAUCAUUUGACAAUCAAACACAUAAUUUUUAAACACAAAAUUAACGAUAUUUUGAAAUCAUUAUUGAAAUUAUAAUCAAAAUUAAUACAUGUUCUUUUUAUUAGCUUAAGGUCGUAAAAACCCUUCAAAAUUUUCAAAAAAAAAAAAAAUUUAAGUCCCUCUUUUUUUUUUUCUAAUUUUUAAUAAAAGUAGGGGCUUAAUUGCUUUUUUUUUUUUAAGUUUGAGGGUCUUUUUGAUGCAUUUUGAAAGUUCAAGUACCCAAUUGAGUGCAAGAAGAAAGUAGGGGCUUAAUUGCUUUUUUUUAUGUAUUUUGAACGUUCAUGUACCCAAAUGAGUGCAUAAAAAAAACAGGGGUUUAGUUGCUAUUUUUGAAAAGGGUUUGAGGGCUUUUUGCACCCUUAAACCUCUUUUCUUUUUCUAAAUUUAAUUUAGAACCAACUUUGAGUAAAGACUUGGGAAAUUUAAUUAGCAAAAUUUCUUUCCAUGUAAAUAUUUCCCCUAUUUCUUGUUGGAAUUUAAAGCAAUACAAUAUUUUUGUAGCUAGUAACAGAAAACGACAGUCAAUUAAUUCCAAGCAAUACAAAAUAUCCAGUCUGGUGGAAAAUUUGUUUGUUAGAUUCUAUUAUUCAACUUUUAAGGCAUAAGUCUGAAUAUAGGGACUAAAUUUUUAAAGUGUUGUUUAUUUUAAAAUCUAUUAAUAUAUACACACUUAGGGACCAUAUAUAUAUAUAUCAUAUAUAUAUAUAUAUAUUCCAUUCUGGAUCUUUGUCGUGUUUUGUUGGUUGGCUCUGGCCUUGUUGUUGUUUCCACUGCCUGUGGUCUCUGUUUCUAAGUCAUAUGUGGCCUUGUUUGCUAGACCUUAGUUGCUCUUCACAUGUCUUGUAUUUUGUCAAGUUAAUUGAAAUGGAAAAUAAAAGUGUUGGCAUUACAGAUUAGAGUAAAAGGAAUUAGUGUUGAAGUUGGGGUUGUUCAAUUGUUGGAAUUCAUGUGUGUAUUUUUUUGAGUAUCUGGGUCUUUGUCGUGUUUUCUUGGUUGGCUAUGGCGGCCUUCUUGUUGUUCCCACUGUCUGUGGUAUUUGUUUCUAAGUCAUAUGUGGCCUUGUAUGCUAGACCUUAGUUGCUAAGUUAAAGGGAGUGAAUAGAGCACCAUAUUUCUUCUUCUGCGUGGAAAAUAAGUUGGCAUUAUGCCAAUUUCCACAUUCAUACAUAUAAAGGAAGCAAGAGCAAGUCAAUAUACUUUGUAAUCUCAUCAAUUCUUCUUCUUUCUUUAGGGAGUUCAAAUGAAAUACAAAUUUUUGGUAAAUCAACUCUUCAUUUUUAUGAAUAAAAAUUAUAUGGUAGAAAGGAAGUGGUGUUAAUAAUAAUAAUAAUAAUAAAAAGAUUAACAAUAGAACACUAAUAAAGCAAUUUAGUCUAUGAUCUGCACAAUAUAUUACUACAAAUGUACCGUACAGAAUAUUGAAAGAAAACUAAUAAAGAAGUUCGAAAUUUAAACAAUGUUCCGCAAAUUAUGUUUAUGAUCUGCUGUAAAUUGAUAUGUUAAAUCAACUCUUCAUUUUUAUGAAUAAAAAUUAUAUGGUAAAAAGGAAGUGGUGUUAAUAAUAAUAAUAAAGAUCAACAAUAGAAAACUAAUAAAGCAAUUUAGUCUAUGAUCUGCAUAAUAUAUUACUACAAAUGUACCGUACAGAAUAUUGAAAGAAAACUAAUAAAGAAAUCCGAAAUUUUAACAAGGUUCCGCAAAUUAUGUUUAUGAUAUGAUGUAAAUUGAUAUGUCAAAUUUUGUGGCAAGUAAUAGAAAAUGACAAAUUCCACAUUCAUACAUAUAAAGGAAGCAAGAUCAAGUCAAUAUACUUUGUAAUCUCAUCACUUCUUCUUCUUUCUUUAGGGAGUUCAAAUGAAAUACAAAAUUUUGGUAAAUCAACUCUUCAUUUUUAUGAAUAAAAAUUAUAUGGUAAAAGGAAGUCUUGUUAAUAAUAAUAAUAAGAUUAACAAUAGAAAACUAAUAAAACAAUUUAUCCAAAUAUCAAAAUAAAUAUUAACUUUUUCAGAAACCAAAAUUAUUUUCUAAAAAUUAUUUUUUAAAAACUAUUUUUAGUGAAACAAACUGAGUCUUAGCCCAUAUUGUAAAUUAUUUUGUGGGUCUGGAAUUCUUGUACAUUAUGCUGCAAAAGAGUGAAAUUUCCUUACAGCUAGUCGAUCAAGUUUGGUUGAAAUUGAAUGCAUUGAUGUGAAAUUGAGGGAGCCUAAACAAUGUUGAUGCGAGUUUAGGUAAAAUUAGUGGAUCCCAUCUCCUUAGUAAUUUCUUUAAGGAAGUAUCUGCUUUCACACUGUGUUGACAACUUCCCACAGAUCAAAGGCCUGCAGGUAAGUCUUCAUAUUUACCAGCCAUAUGUGAAAACCUUCUCCAUUGAAGACUGGUGGGACUGCUGGUGAAAAUCCUGAAGAAGCCAUCAGGUUUCUUGAUUUGAAGCAACAGGUCCACUAAGAAAAGGGCUCUAGAUACCAAUUGUUGGUGUAAAAGGGCAGAAGCAAACUGAUUUAAGCUUGCUUAUACAGCAAGCCUCGAGCCUUGUAGAAGAAACAAUCUCAGCAGAAAGCAAAAAUGAAGCUUGCAGUUGGAAAAACAAGAAAACAAGGAGAGAAUUUGAAUGAAAAACAAGCUGAGUUGUUCAUUAACAUUACAACAAGGCAUAUUGCCAUUACAUAUAUCAGUUAACUUGUCAAAUAAACAAGUAAUCACCUAAUCAAUUACCUAACACCACUAAUAUGCAUUGAAACUUACAAAAUUAGCUUGCAAACAUUACAUUGCUGAUAUUUCAGUCAAUCAACAUCAAAAUUACACCAAAACAUUCACCUGCUUAGUUCAAUGUGAACUAGAUUACAAAAUGAUUAAAAUACAACUAAAACAACAAGUGGUUCAGUAACUUGAAGCUUCAGCUGCUGCACACCAUGGCUCGAUUGCCUGCUGCCAUUUCUUCUUGCAUGGCCACCUUUGCAUGGGAACUAAACUCAACAUACACGAACUAAUGCAAAUAUGCUAGUGGUUUAUUUUCCACCUAUCUGAUUUUUUAAAAUGUUCUUCAGUUACACCAGUUGAUGCAAUCUAUUAUUACCUGCCUCGUUGCAAAAAGGUUAGGAAAUAAAUUCACCGACAAUCAUUGGGAACUAAGAAACUUCGCAGCAAAGCUAGUGGCAUCAAUAUGCAAAAGGUGAAGAUUCUUUUCUUUUGGACUUAUACAUGCAUAUUCGUUUUUAUGAAUUUCAGGUGUCUGAGUUUUUAGUUAUAAACUUGGAUCUAUUCUUCAAAUCAUGUGUAUAUCAUUUUUAUGCUAUUUCACACUUGCAAAACAAAUGGUGCGAGCGUGCAUGUUAUAUGCAGAAUACAUAGAUUAAUUACAUGUGGAUCAUUAAGCAUGCCUAUGUUUGACGAUUGUGUGUGGCUACCUUUUUUUACAUGAUCCAAUUUUCGAUAUGCUUUGCUUUUAGGUUGAAUGCGGAAAAGAUUAGAACUUAAUUUCCAGCAUAAUGAUUUGUCUUGGAUAUGCAGAUUUUACAUGCAUUUCUUACAAGUCAAUAUUUUAUAGAUUUGGGCAUGUUUAUCACAAUCUUCAGCCACGUGUGACAAGGACACUGCUCCACGCUUUUUUGGACCCAACGAAAACAUUUCCCCAGUAUUACGGAGCAAUUCAAGGGUUAGCAGCCCUUGGACCCAGUGUGGUAUAAUUCUAAUCUCAAAUAUUUACUAGCAACACAAUAAGAUACUUGUUUGUGGGAUCAAUUGGUCAAAGAUAUUGCAAUGAUAGCCAUCUUUUUAAGCCCAUUUCUUUCAGAAAACUGUUUUGUCACUCUUUUCUGCAAGAUCCGAAGAAAGAAAGAACAUGGAAAUCUUUAGUCCAAAAGUGUAAAUAUGCGGUUUCUCUAUAGCUAUCUUGAUUAUGGCAUCUGUAAAGUUUGUCUUUCAUAUGUUUGGCUAACGCUUCUUCAUCCAUAUGUAGGUUCGUUUACUUAUACUACCAAACCUUGAAGCGUAUUUGCAGCUUCAUGAACCUGAAAUAAAAAGACACGAGGCCUGGUGUUUUUAUGGGGCCCUGCUGGUAAGUUUAACAUCAAAUUUGGUACCAGUUUACGAGCAUCAUUUCAUUUAUUUGCUAUAGAACUAACAACACUGCAUAAAAUUUCCACUAAAAGCGUGCAGCUGGACUGUGCAUGUAUGAUCGGCUUAAAAUGUUCCCCAGUUUGCUAGCACCCCCAACUCGGCCCGUCUGGAAAAGCAACAACAAAGUUGCGACAAGUAUGAUUUCUUCGAACCAUCAUAUUUACACUUAAUCCACAGGUCUCUUCUCCCCCUUUACGAUUUUCCUUUUUCUGAUCAAUCAAGAUAAACGAAAAGCAAGCACGGACGCCUUGAUGCAGCAGCAACCACCUGCGAAGAAAAUAGCAACUGAGAGUGCAAUAGGUAUGAUGCCAAUAAAUUCCAUGCAAACUGAUUUACAAGGGGCAGUUAGCAGCUUUUCUACCACCGUAGGAGGUUCCAAUAUCGGUGUAUCAUCAAUGUCACGGCCGUUAUCAAACGAUAACAUGCUAGGAAGGGAGGUUGGGGGUCGAGUUUCAAGGACAUCAACCGUUCUAGCUCAGGCUUGGAAGGAAGACACAGACCCAGGGAACUUGUUAGCAUCAUUAUUUGAACUUUUUGGUGAAAGUAUGUAAUUAAAAUAAUAUAUUGGCUUAACCCUCCUAAAUUAUGUAUUUUUUUCCAUCUUGGGACCUAAAUUUUUUUGGGGUCAUAAGUGGUACCUAAACUACAUUUUUUCUCCUUCAAAUUAGUAUCUUCAUUAAUUAAACCGUUAAGUCUAUUUAAAAAAGAAAGACUCGAACAACAAAUUAAUACCUAAACAGUGCUCUUUUUCUCAAGGUACCUAAUUUUUAUUUUGGCCAUAAGUACUACUAAAACUAUUCUUCCGUUACUCAUUUUACACCAAAAUGUUAUAUCGGCUGAAAAGAUUCCAACAAAUAAUAGAUUGUAUGUUAUAUAAACUUUUAAAAAUAAUUAUUAUUUAAUUAAUUUUUUAUAUUUUUCUUUCUUAUUCCUUUCUAAUGUUUGGCAAUGCUGAUAAUGUUUGAAAUUGUCCCACUUGAGGUCAAAAUACUGGUGAUUAAUUUUGGUUUUGAAUUUCACCACCUACUUCUUUGACCUAAGGGGAUAGAAAAUGUUCUUUUAUCGAUCAAAACUAGUAUUUUCAAAAACAGAUUGAUUCAACUGGUUGGAUAGGAAAUCGGUCUGGAAAUAAGGGUUGAAUCGAUUGACUUGCGACCAAAAACAAAUCAGUUGAACUAAGUUAAAAAAACUGGUUGAACUAGUUCUCUCCAUUUAUAUAUAUAUAAAUAAUAAUAGUCUUUUUUUGUACUAUAUGUCAAUUUUUAAUUGGUUAAUUUUUUUUUUCAUAUAAACUGAACGGUUUGACUAAUGACGGAGGUACCAAAUUAUAGUCUAGGUACCAAUUCAUGGGUUAAGCCUAUUUCUACAAUAGACUUUUGACUAAUGGCGGUAGUAACUUGGGAAAAAAAAAGUAGUUUAUGUACCACUUGUGACAAAAAAUAAGUUUAGGUACUAUCAUGGGAAAAUGAGUAUAAUUUAGAUACUAAUUUAUGAGUUAAGCCUAAUAUAUUUGCCACAUCAUUUUUUGAAAAUAACAGAACUUAAUAAAUUUAACGGUUAUUAUUUGAUGAUGACUAAAAUUUUUAAAUUUGAAAAGUACAUGAACUAAAAAUGACCAAAUUAAAGUAUAAAGAUUAAGUCCACAACUUUUGCAAAGUACAAGGACUAAUAGCAGAAAUUAACCUAAAUUUCAUAUGGGUCAAUUACAAUAAUAAUCACUAAACUAUUCCUUUGGUUCUAUUCUAGUCACUCAACUAUAGAGCUGCUCAUGAGCCGGGCCAGGUUAGGCCUAAGCAUGAUAUUAACGUACUUUAUGCUUGCUCAAGCUUGGCUCGGCCCGAAAUAUGAGCUUAAAAUUUCGCCUAAACUCAUCAAUAUUUGCAAAAGACUAACCCAAGCUCAUUUUAGGCAUGCCCAUAUAAUUUUUAGUUUUUUUUUUUUAAAUAUUUAUAUUAUAUUAUUUUAAGAAUUAAUAAUUUGAACUAUAGUAUUAUUAUAUAUUUAGUAUAAGUUUAUUUUUUAAUCUGUUCUAAAUUAUAUAAUAUAAAAUAUUAUACACUUAAAAACGGGCCGGGCUGGGCUCGAGCUUUAAAUGUUCAAGUCUUAACCCGGCCCAUAUUUUAAACGGGCUUAAUUUUUUUACCAAAACCCAAUUUUCGGGCCUAAUUUUUUUACUCAGACCCUCCCAAAUUUUGGGCUGCCCUUGGGCUUUGGCAAGUAGCCCAACUCAUGAACAAGUUUACUCAACUAUUAAUUUUUUCGAUUUAGUUGUUAACCUUUUCGAAAGUAAAUAUUUUAGUCAUUCUCCUAUUAGUUGUUGUUAAACGAGUGACGGAAAGCUGAUGUGGGCUUUUUUUAUUAGUCUAAUAACAAAUUUAGCCCUCCAAUGUUUACACAUUCUAUCAAUUUGAUCCUAGAUAUAAAAAAAUCAACAAAUUUAGCCCUGAAUGUUAACAAAACUUGUCAUUUUAGUUCAAAUUCUAAAAAAUUUAAUAAAUUUAACCCUUAAUAUUUUCAAAAAUUAGCAAUUUAGUUCUAAUUCUAAAAAUUUUAAUAUAUAUAUUUAAAAAAAUAUUUUUAAUCAUCUGUCUCACCCUUUGAUUUUUUAGAUGAGCUAAAAUCAAAAUGAGAUAAAAAAAAAUAAAAAGUUAAAAUGACUUUUCGUUUGUAAAGUUAAAAAAUGCUAAAUAAAUCAUUAUGUCUUUUUAGUUUUAAUUUUUUACUUGAUUAAAAGAGAAAUAAUUAACAAAUGAAAAAUAAUUAUUUCUAUAUAAAUUUAUCAAAAUUUAUAACAAAUGAUAUUUUAGAUUUGAAUUAUCAGACUAUAUAUAUAUAAGUAUACACAUUUUUAUGAAAUAAAAGAUUUUGCUAAAAGAAAAAGCAUCCAAUUUUAAGAAUGAAAAAUAUAUGGUAAAAGCAUCCAUAACUUUUCAAUGUUAAAGACAAAAAAGACUGUAACACCAAUGUUGUGGUAUUAUUUGUUGCCUAUAAAUACCAUUCCUAUCCUUCUUCUUCCUCUACCAACAUAACAUGGCCUCCUAUCUCUUUCUCUCCCUAUUCCUCUUCUUUCUCCAUCUUUAUGCUUCUUUUUCUUCUUCAGGAUCUCACUCCUGCUCUUCACUAAUCCAGUUUAAGGACUCCUUUUCCAUAAGAGAGGAUGCUUCUUUUGAUCAUUGCGAUUAUUUUGCUGGCCUUAAAUCUUAUCCCAAGACAAAUUCAUGGAAGGAGGGUACAGAUUGCUGCUCAUGGGAUGGGGUCACUUGUGACCACCUAAAUGCUCAUGUUAUUGCCCUUGACUUGAGCUGCAGUUGGCUAUAUGGCACCUUCCCUUCCAAUACCACUCUCUUCCUUCUUCCUCACCUUCAAAAACUCAACCUUGCCUACAAUGAUUUUAAUUCUUCCAAAAUUCCAUCCGAGUUCGGUCGGUUUACAAGCCUAUUCUACCUCAACCUUUCCAAUACAUGGUUUUCAGAAGUCCCAUCCCAAGUCUCCCACCUGUCAAAAUUGGUUUCACUUGAUCUUUCUGGGUUUGAUGAACUAUUAACAAUUGACAAAUAUGCUCUGGAGGGUCUUGUUCACAACCUAACCGAGGUCAGACGUCUGUUUUUGGAUGAAAUGGACAUGUCUUCAGUUAAUGCUCAUGUCUUCAUGAAUCUAUCCUCUUCUCUAAGGUCUCUCAGUCUUGUUGGUUGUGAUUUGCAAGGAAAAUUCCCAAAAAACAUUUUUGAUUUGCCAAACCUCAAUCUCCUCAACUUGGGAGGCAACCAAAACCUCAAUCUUGAUCCUUUGAAGUUCAAUCGGAGCAGCAAUCUUGAACAAUUGAUAAUUUCAGACGCAAAUAUUUGUGGAGGAUUGCCUGACUCGAUGGGGAAUCUUGUGUCCUUGAAGUUUUUAGUUCUCUCCCAUUCCAACUUAUCAGGACUGGUUCCAAGAUCACUGGGGAAUCUCUUGAAACUCACUCAUUUAGACUUGUCGGAGAACCAAUUGAGUGGACAAAUUCCAAGAAAAUUGGGGAACCUCUUGCAACUCACUCAUUUAGACUUGUCGAAGAACCAAUUGAGUGGACAAAUUCCAAGAUCAUUAGGGAACCUCUUGCAACUCACUCAUUUAGACUUGUGGCUGAACCAAUUGAGUGGACAGAUUCCAAGAUCAUUGGGGAACCUCUUGCAACUCACUGUUUUAGACUUGGGAUGGAACAAAUUGAGUGGACAAAUUCCAUUGUCAAUUCUAAACCUAACGCAGCUGGAAUACUUGACAAUAUCUAACAAUUCUUUAGAAGGUUCCAUUCCAGAUGAGGUAACCGCUUUUCAUAAUCUAAUAUAUUUAGACUUAUCUGACAAUUUACUCAAUGGAACACUGCCGUCAUGGUUGUAUACUGCUCCCUCCUUAAAGACAAUAUAUCUCUCUCAAAAUCAAUUCAGUGGGCAUAUCAAAGAAUUCCAAUCCAAAUCACUAGAAUGGAUAUGGUUAGAGAAUAAUAAACUCCAAGGUCCUCUUCCAUCUUCAAUAUUCCAACUUCUCAAUCUUACCCAACUUAGCUUAUCCUCAAAUUAUCUUAGUGGUGUCAUAGAGUUUCGCAUGUUCUCAAACCUUCCAAAUCUCGAAUAUCUUGACCUUUCAUAUAACAGCCUAUCCUUAACAUCUAAUACAACUUCUACUGUUAAUCUUACAAGCUUAUUUUUGUCAUCUUGCAAUCUUAGUGAAUUCCCCCAAUUUUUAAAAGGGCUUAAAAGUUUGGAAAGCUUAGACCUCUCUUGCAACAAAAUUGAAGGCAAGAUUCCACAGUGGAUGCGAGAGGUGGGGAAUGGCUCUUUGACUCACUUAAAUGUAUCUCACAACACUUUGACAGAAGUUGAGCACUUUCCAUGGAAGAAUAUUGAUGUUCUUGACUUAAGCUCCAAUUUGAUCAGUGGAAAUCUUCCGAUUCCAGCUUCGACCAUAAGAGUCUUUUUGAUCUCAAAUAAUAGUUUCAAUGGAGAGGUCUCUUCUUUAAUAUGCAAUGCCGCUUUUCUUGAAAUUCUUGAUUUGUCCCACAAUAACUUGAGUGGAACAAUUCCACAAUGUUUUGGAAAUUUGAGCAACAGCCUUCUAUUCUUGAAUCUGAAGAAGAACAAGUUUUAUGGGACGAUUCCUCCAGCAUUUGCAAAGGGAUGCCGAUUGAGUAAUUUCAACUUAAAUGGAAAUCUGUUAGAAGGGCCUUUGACACCAUCCAUGAUCCAUCCUUAAUUGUAAUGGUCUGGAAGUGCUAGAUCUUGGUAACAACAAGAUCAAUGAUACAUUUCCUCAUUGGUUGGGAAGUCUUCCACAGCUACAAGUUCUUGUAUUGAAGUCAAAUCAACUGCAUGGUUCCUUAUGUGUCAAUAGCUCCAAGUCUAUCCCUUUUUUCUCUAAAAUCCAAAUUUUUGAUCUCUCAAGUAAUUAUUUUUCUGGACCCCUACCAGUGAGAUACAUCAACAGCUUCAAGGCUAUCAUAAAUCUAGAGAAGAUUGGGAGUACAAUGUCGUACAUGGGGGUGUAUGCUCAGAGAGGUAGUGCCUUCUAUACCCAUUCCAUUGGAAUUGUUAUGAAAGGACAAGAUAGGGAAUUGGUGAAAAUUUUCACCAUGUGGAUGAUCAUUGAUCUAUCAAACAAUCAGUUUCAAGGGGGUAUUCCAAAGGUUAUUGUGAAGCUUAACUUGCUGAAAGGGCUCAACCUUUCUCAUAAUAACCUUAAUGGUGGUAUCCCCACCUCAAUAGGGAAUUUGACAAGUCUUGAAUGGUUAGACCUAUCUUCAAACAGUUUGUCUGGGACGAUUCCAAAUAGAUUGGCAGAUCUGCCAUUUCUUUCGUCCUUCAAUGUUUCUGAAAAUCAACUCCAUUGUCAGAUUCCUCAAGGCAAACAGUUCAACACAUUUGGAAAUGAUUCAUAUGAAGGAAACAAGGGAUUAUGUGGAUUUCCGGUCUCAAAAGGUUGCAACAUCAUUGAGCCAGCACCUCUAAAUGUGCUUGAAAAAGAUGGCUCAAAAUCAAACAUUACUUUUGGUUGGAAAGUGGUGUUGAUAGGUUAUGGAUGCGGAGUGGUGUUCGGAAUGUCCGUGGGAUAUGUUGUUUUCCAAACUGGUAAGCCGAAAUGGUUGGUGAAUUUGGUUGAAAUCCAACAUGAGAAGAAGCGAAGAAGAAAGUCAAAGGAUGGCAGUCGCAGCAAUGGAUGAAGAAGGAUCUAGUUAGUGGAAAUGAUGUUCAAGUGUUGAUGUUGUAUCUUCAUAAUUUCUUGUUUUGAAGUCUUUCAAUUUUUUUCCUAUGGUGAAAGGUUGCAUUGCCAUGCAUCUGUCUUUACUUUUGUAACAAUUCAUCUGUCAUAAUAUUAUAGAUUUUAUUGAUUUUAAUUUUUUCUCUAAUUUUUAAUAAAAAUAGGGGCAUAAUUGCUUUUUUUUUUUAAGUUUGAGAGUAUUUUUUAUGCAUUUUGAAAGUUCAAGUACCAAAUUGAGUGCAAAAAAAAAAAGAGUAGGGGCUUAAUUACUUUUUUUGAAAAUGUUUGAGAGCUUUUUUGAUGUAUCAAAUGAAAUACAAAUUUUGAGUAAAUCAACUAUUCAUUUUUAUGAAUAAAAAUUAUAUGGUAAAAAGGAAGUAGUGUUAAUAAUAAUAAAAAAGAUCAACAAUAGAAAACUAAUAAAGCAAUUUAGCCUAUGAUCUGCGCAAUAUAUUACUACAAAUGUACUGUACAAAAUAUUGAAGAAAACUAAUAAAGAAAUCUGAAAUUUUAACAAGUUCCGCAAAUAAUGUUUAUGAUUUGCUGUAAAUUGAUAUGUCAAAUUAGGCUCUCCAUCACACUUAAAAGUUUAUUUUCGAGCAAUUUAGAUAUCUUUGUUGCGUUUUUAUUUUGUUUUAGUUGUUUAUAUUAAUAAAUGAUUAGUGUGCAUUUUGAUGCUAUUUUAAGACCUGAGAUGGCCAAAUGGCACCCGGGGAAUCUAAUGAGGUUGGUGAGUGAUGCAGAGAGCCCAUGGUGGCCCGGAAGGAACGAAAAUGUUACCUAGAAAGAGGGUAUCGCAUUUCAAAGCAUGAAAGUCGUAAUACCCAUAACAAUGUUAAAAACAAGGAAGAUUGAGCCAUCAACAAUGUUAUCGUGAUACCGGUCAUAAGAUAUCGCGAUACCCAAAACUUCCAAGGAUCCCCCAAGACUGUUGUGGAUAUCGCGAUACCAAACUUUGGGUAUCGCAAUAUCAUUGAUGAGAGGAGACAAAAUAUAACUGUAGGGGUAAUCCUUUUCCAACAUGUGGAAUGGCCAUGGGAUGUGUUGUUUUCCAAACCGGUAAGGCGAAAAGGUUCGUGAAUUUGGCUGAAGACCAACAUGAGAAGAGGCGAAGAAGAAAGCCAAAAUAUAGCAAUCGCAUCAAUGGAUGAAGAAGGAUCUAGUUGGUUCAAAUGAAGUUAAAGCAUUUGUGCUGUGUCUUCAUAAUUUCUUGUUUAGUAGUCUGUCAGAAAGUUUUUCCUAUGGUGAAAAGUUGCAUUGCUAUGUGUCUGUUUUUAUGAUUGUACCAAUUCCUCUGUAUUUCAUUGCAUUUCGUACUAUUUGUAAGGGUUUAGUUCAGUGUAACAUCUUGUAUGGUGCAACUAUGUAUGUCUUCUUUCUUGAAUUUCAACUUUUAGUAAACAUUAUACUGCUCACCAUAAAAAAAAUACAUGUAGAAUUACAAAAGAUUCAAUUAUUCAAGUUUGAGUUGCAUUUAUAAACAUGUGAUGAUGAGAAUUCAUGAACAAAAGGUAUGGUUUGAGCCCUUUUGCAAUAUGCGUUUAUGUUGCAUUUACCUAUAUAUCUAUCGACAAAUUUAAGAGUAAUAUUUACAAUAGCAUUGCAGAGUAACAUAUUUACGAUUGGAUUACACAGUCAAAAGAUUGCAGCAACGAUGAGAUUAAUCCAAUUACAGGAAUUGAUAUCCUAAAUGGCUUUUAGGUACGUAGCUUCAUUGACGGUACAAACUAGUUAAAAUUUCCAGAAUUCAUGUCUUUGUUUUCCCUCAAGUAAACGUAGUCAAUACUGCAAAUGGUGUGGAAGUAUUGUACAUUGUGGCCCAAAUGUCCAAAAUUUCCACAUUGCUUGUAAAUUAAGUGAUGAAAACCAAAACUGUUUGAGGCAUCCAAUUACCCACAGAGAUAGGAAGUAAGGACGCAUGUAUAAUUAUUAUCAUUAAUUAAAGCAUAUAUAAUUACAUUAAAUAUAGGAUAAACUAUAAAAAUAAUCACUUUUAUUUACCUCAUAUUACAUUUUAGUCACUUAUGUUUGAAAUGUUACAUUUUGGUCACUUACGUUAUCGUUUUGGUACGAAGUGGUCACUCUACCGUUAAGCUCCGUUACCUCCCUAACGGCGAUUCUACGUGAUAGUCCAAAUGAGUUUUAAAUGCCAACUUAAAUGUCUUGCGUGGCUGUCUAAAUUAAAUUUAUUUAAUUAAAAACUUAUUUUCAUCUCAACAACCGGACAUUCAAGUUCGCAUUUAAAACCCAUUUAGACUGCCACGUAGGACUGCCGAUAGGGAGGUAACAGAGUUUGAUAGUAGAGUAACCACUUCAUAACAAAACGAUAAUGUAAGUGGCUAAAACAUAACAUUUCAAACAUAAGUAAUUAAAAUAUAAUAUAAGGUAAACAAGCCUUAAAUAUAUAAAUUACUAUGAUUACUAUCAAGAUAGCAUUGACCUGUUCAACAGGCGGAACCAAUAGAUCUGACCAUUUGGUGACUCUAGCAGUCGAUAAGUGUGAGUGGCAGACUGUGCAACUUGUAACUAUGUUAAUUGAUGAAAAGCUUUUUGAUAGAAGAUAAUAAACUAGUGGCAAUGGCAAACGGUUCCAAGACGAGGUGGGACACCGAGGCUUUGUGUAACAGGGGAAUAGAUGCACUCAAUGCUGGCGGCUGUUGACUUGUAUUUCUCUCUAACAAUUUAAAUCACCAGCUUGCUUCAUCCAUCUAUAAAUAAGGGUCUUCUUCAGUUUCAUAAAUGCAUAGAAAAUUAACAAGCUCAAAUUCCUUCUUUUCAUAUUCAUCUCUUUUACUUUGAAUUGCAACUUUAUCCUGCCUAAAUUCCUCAACCAUGAACCACCCAUCAGGACAGCCUCAAAAUGAACUUCCUUGGUCCGCCGGAUUCUGCGAUUGUUGCUCUGACCUGAAAACUUGUAACCCUUUCUUCUUUCUUCAAUAUCAGUUCUGUC
This 22964-nucleotide long non-coding RNA is filed under the name Gossypium barbadense (sea-island cotton). Its description in RNAcentral is "long non-coding RNA (GBAR_LNC016786)". Lineage: Eukaryota; Viridiplantae; Streptophyta; Magnoliopsida; Malvales; Malvaceae. The record is from RNAcentral.